UACGUAGGGUGCGAGCGUUAAUCGGAAUUACUGGGCGUAAAGCGUGCGCAGGCGGUUUUGUAAGCCAGAUGUGAAAGCCCCGGGCUUAACCUGGGAAUGGCAUUUGGGACUGCAAGGCUUGAGUGCGGCAGAGGAGACUGGAAUUCCUGGUGUAGCAGUGAAAUGCGUAGAUAUCAGGAGGAACACCAGUGGCGAAGGCGCCGCUCUGGGCCGAGACUGACGCUGAGGAGCGAAAGCGUGGGGAGCGAACAGG
Molecule: ribosomal RNA, 253 nt
Filed under: uncultured bacterium
Lineage: Bacteria
Description: partial 16S ribosomal RNA
Rfam family: Bacterial small subunit ribosomal RNA
Source: RNAcentral